UCCGGUUUGUCACCGGCAGUCUCAUUAGAGUGCCCUUGCGUAGCAACUAAUGAUAAGGGUUGCGCUCGUUGCGGGACUUAACCCAACAUCUCACGACACGAGCUGACGACAGCCAUGCAGCACCUGUGUAUCGGCUCUCUUUCGAGCACGCCUCAAUCUCUCAAGGCUUCCGACCAUGUCAAGGGUAGGUAAGGUUUUUCGCGUUGCAUCGAAUUAAUCCACAUCAUCCACCGCUUGUGCGGGUCCCCGUCAAUUCCUUUGAGUUUUAAUCUUGCGACCGUACUCCCCAGGCGGUCUACUUCACGCGUUAGCUGCGUUACCAAGUCAAUAAAGACCCGACAACUAGUAGACAUCGUUUAGGGCGUGGACUAC
This 372-nucleotide unclassified non-coding RNA is filed under the name uncultured Gammaproteobacteria bacterium. RNAcentral's name for it is "contains 16S-23S intergenic spacer region". The record is from RNAcentral. Lineage: Bacteria; Pseudomonadati; Pseudomonadota; Gammaproteobacteria.